AGUACAACCCUACGAAACUGCUUCCCACUCGUCUUUUCCGUCUUCUCACUUGCGUAUGUAAUAUCUUCUCUUCUCUUCUAUGUAUUUUUGCUCUUAAUUAUUCCUUUGAUUUCCUUCAGGCACCAUUGAAAUCAUCACAUGUAAGCUAGGGUUUUAUUAAGAACCACAUGUCGACCGCUCUGUUAUCGGCAACCUCGACCACUCACCUUUCCGGCCGGCAACAUCAGCCUCAACCUCACCCUAUUUUCUUACCUAGUAACUUCCUUUGUUUGAAUACAAAUUGUCUAUCUAUGAAGCCCUAGGUCUGAUUCUUCUCCCUAUUCCCCAAACCACGCUCCUCCUUAGUCCUCACACAGUUCACCAUGAACCCUAGACCCAUCGUCAAGCUUUCUCACUUCCUUAUAUCUGGGUAAUACUUCUACUACCAAAAACCCUCUAUUCAUUUUAUUUCUUGAUUCAGUGUUGUUGAAUGUUUUGUCCCUAUUCCCCAAACCGCGCUCCUCCUAAUGGUUCAACUCAACAAGUACAGGAAGAAGUUGCAAUGUUUUGUCCAAUGAUAUGCAGUGAAGUCCUUCAUUGGAUUUCAAUUUCUGUGUUUUUGAAGCUGUGUGAAUGAAUUGAUAUUUCCCUCCACUGAGUACGCCCUUCUGCUUCUCUGUGCGAUUUCUUCUACUCCUUCCCCAGAUGAAAUUUCUCUUUGUGGGAGUCAAAAUCUUCUCUGGUAACUCACAAUUAGACAUGAACCUUGUGGGAAUGGGUGCUGCUAUUUUAGGGAUGCGGGACCCUGUAGGAAUCCUAGUGGCUAAGGAUCUUACUUCUUCAGCUACGCCAUAUUACUAAGGUACCCCUCCUGAGGUUAGCCCUGUUCUUGCAUUGGAUGUGUUCUUGGUUCUGGUGAGAUUUAUUUAUUCAUUUUCUGUAUAUAUAUAUAUAUAUAUAUAUAUAUAUAUAUAUAUAUAUAUAUAUAUAUCAUGAAUUAUUUAAUGAUAUGAUGAAUUUAUAUGUCAGUUAUAGUGCCAGAGAACACCCCGGUUCCUAGGGCGACUUGAGGUUUUUGUUUUUUACCAGGGGUAUUAUGGUAAUUUGUUUUGGUGGACAUUUUGUAGUGUGGUUUAAGUUGACUAGGGUUGUAGUGUUUUCUUCCCAUGGGUUAAAGAAAUGUAGGAAAUUGAAGGUUUAUAUACAGUAUAAUAAAUUUGUAGGGUGUGUUGAUCACAUUGUUUAUGAAUGUUGUUGCAUACAACUAUUGAUUUAUGGUUUGUCCUCUAUGUCUACAAUUCACUUACAAAUAGAUGGGAAAGGGAAAGAUAUAAUUUGUUUAAGAUGUUUUGACCCAUAAAACAACAAAUUCACAUAAUACAACUCACAUACAAGUCACUUAGUUAUUAUAAUUUGUUUUUGAGAGAAUUCGAAGAAGUUUUUUACAUUGUAUCACAUGUGACCUUUUCCCCGCUGACAAUAUCCAUGGAUAUGUGGAGUCUUUGUCCAUUACUAAUGGAAGCUUCGACUGGCUAGGUUAUUGAAAAUUUACACGGUAUAUAUGCUAAAAUACUUUUUCAUUUUUCUUAUUCUUCAUAUGAAAGCUCUCUAAUGGAGCCAAAUUACGAACAAAUUUUAUGGUGUAUGCUUUCCAAAGUAUGUUGUUCCUAUAAAAAAAUUAUGAAACAAUAUCUUAUGUAAUCCUUGACACUUGAGAAACUAUAUAUGUAUUACUUCCAUACUUGUAUUUCUUUUUUCAGUGACUUUUUUCUCUUUUGUAUCAGGUAAUGAGUGAAAAAAACUUGCAAGAUGAAAACACGAAACCUGCACCUAUGCUUAUAUCAUUAGUGUUACAGAACUGCAGGGGAUACGUGGACCAUUAAGCCGAAUCAUAUAUUAGAAUCAAAAUUGAACGAAUUCACCAAGUUGAAAGCCACAACUUGAAGUGCCUUUUGAUCAGUCAUCUAAUAAAGAUUGUUUUUGCAUUUUAUGUUUUCAUUUUUUGCAUUUGUGUCAGUUCACGAAUCUCAUGUUCGUCCUGGCACAGCCUCUGGGAGAACUGCACCUGUCAAAGAGAGAAACGAAAUGUCUCAGCAUGAUUCCAAGAGUGGAACUGUUGAAACAUGGACAAGAGAAGGACCACCACAUCAUCACAUGGUGUCGCAGAUUCUGCUGAUAAGCCUGGUACGCUUCCCAAGUCGCUAUGUGGGUAUGUAGAAAGGCUUUGGCUCGUUGUAAGGAUGAUAGAUAGAUGACAGCUUGCCAAAAUGUCCUCAAGCAGUUUAUCACCAAAGCAAGUAAUGAAGGCAAUCUUUCUACACGAGACUAGAAUAUUGAGCCUCUUUUCCCAAAUCCUAACACUGAUACCAUUAAUAAUGAAUCAAAUCCUCCAUCACUAAUGAUGAACAUAAGAGCAGUAGAGCCAGAGGUCGAUCCUGAAAGAGAUCAGCGCACGGUCUUUGCAUAUCAGUCCACUGCAACAGCUGCUGGAGUUGCAGGUGGUGCAACAUAUGCAAGGGGGGCUAGAAAAUUGUAUGUGGGCAAUCUUCAUUAUAAUAUGAAAGAAUAUCAACUUCUAUAGGUUUCUCCACCUUUCUUUUUUUAGAAAUUUCAAAUAUCACAAGAUUUUUUAAAUGUUUUUAAAAUAAUCUAGCUUUAUUCACUUGUCAGGUGU
This is a non-coding RNA of Lactuca sativa (garden lettuce), 2653 nucleotides long. The record is from RefSeq and is a predicted model, not a curated record. Lineage: Eukaryota; Viridiplantae; Streptophyta; Magnoliopsida; Asterales; Asteraceae.